Molecule: unclassified non-coding RNA, 329 nt
Filed under: plant metagenome
Description: partial contains 5.8S ribosomal RNA, internal transcribed spacer 2, and large subunit ribosomal RNA
Rfam family: 5.8S ribosomal RNA (bases 1-105)
Source: RNAcentral
GAAAUGCGAUAAGUAAUGUGAAUUGCAGAAUUCCGUGAAUCAUCGAAUCUUUGAACGCACAUUGCGCCCUCUGGUAUUCCGGGGGGCAUGCCUGUCCGAGCGUCAUUGCGAACCCCUCAAGCACGGCUUGUGUGAUGGGCCCUCCCGCGUCUUGGUCGUCAAGACGGGCCCGAAAUGCAGUGGCGGCUUCGCGGUUAUCCGAUCAGCCAGAGCGUAUGGGGACUUUCUCUCUGUCACACGCCCGCGGCGCGGACCGACGCCUGUCGACCUUCAUUCAUCGUUUUCUCGGUUGACCUCUGAUCAGGUAGGGAUACCCGCUGAACUUAAGC